Molecule: ribosomal RNA, 493 nt
Filed under: uncultured Glomus
Lineage: Eukaryota; Fungi; Glomeromycota; Glomeromycetes; Glomerales; Glomeraceae
Description: SSU rRNA
Rfam family: Eukaryotic small subunit ribosomal RNA
Source: RNAcentral
AGCAGCCGCGGUAAUUCCAGCUCCAAUAGCGUAUAUUAAAGUUGUUGCAGUUAAAAAGCUCGUAGUUGAAUUUCGGGGUUAGUAGGUUGGUCAUGCCUCUGGUAUGUACUGGUCUCACUGAUUCCUCCUUCCUGAUGAACCUUAAUGCCAUUUAUUUGGUGUUUUGGGGAAUUUGGACUGUUACUUUGAAAAAAUUAGAGUGUUUAAAGCAAGCUAACGCUUGAAUACAUUAGCAUGGAAUAAUGAAAUAGGACGUUCGAUCCUAUUUUGUUGGUUUCUAGGAUUGACGUAAUGAUUAAUAGGGAUAGUUGGGGGCAUUAGUAUUCAAUUGUCAGAGGUGAAAUUCUUGGAUUUAUUGAAGACUAACUACUGCGAAAGCAUUUGCCAAGGAUGUUUUCAUUAAUCAAGAACGAAAGUUAGGGGAUCGAAGACGAUCAGAUACCGUCGUAGUCUUAACCAUAAACUAUGCCGACUAGGGAUCGGAUGAUGUUAA